AGUUCAGAUAGCUGUUUAACUGCCAACAAGUUGGAAAUUUCAGUGAAGUCAUCCUUUAAAAAAAUGUAACUUGGGACCUUGAUAUGAAGAAGCUGAAGUCCGGAAAAAACUUGAGGAAAAAGACAGGCAGGAGGAAGCACAGCGGCUACAACAAAAAAGGCAGGAAACAGGAAGAGAGGAUGGUGGCACAUUGGCUAAAGGUUCUUUGGAGAACGUAUUGGAUUCCAAAGACAAAACCCAAAAGAGCAAUGGUGAAAAGAAUGAAAAAUGUGAGACCAAAGAGAAAGGAGCAAUCACAGCAAAGGAACUAUACACAAUGAUGACGGAUAAAAACAUCAGCUUGAUUAUAAUGGAUGCUCGAAGAAUGCAGGAUUAUCAGGAUUCCUGUAUUUUACAUUCUCUCAGUGUUCCUGAAGAAGCCAUCAGUCCAGGAGUCACUGCUAGUUGGAUUGAAGCACACCUCCCAGAUGAUUCUAAAGACACAUGGAAGAAGAGGGGGAAUGUGGAGUAUGUGAUACUUCUUGACUGGUUUAGU
RNAcentral lists this small RNA (535 nucleotides) under Pongo abelii (Sumatran orangutan). RNAcentral describes it as "processed transcript". Lineage: Eukaryota; Metazoa; Chordata; Mammalia; Primates; Hominidae. The record is from RNAcentral.